RNAcentral lists this long non-coding RNA (1318 nucleotides) under Marmota monax (woodchuck). Lineage: Eukaryota; Metazoa; Chordata; Mammalia; Rodentia; Sciuridae. The record is from RNAcentral.
GUAAAAGUGUAAAAGGAAGUCAGUUGGGGACUGGAGCAUCAAAAGAAGUCAUGCUGGGCCUAGUGGUGUACGCCUGAUAGCAGGGACUCAGAAGGCUGAGGCAGGAAGAUCACAAGUUUGAGGCCAGCCUCCGCAAUUUAGCAGCCUUAGCAAUUUUAGGAAUAAGGAUAUAGCUCAGUGGUACAGCACCCAUGAGUCCAAUCCCCAGAACCAAAACAAAAUAAAAGAAAGCCUUCAUAUCUCUUCCUUUUGGGGGGUGGGGGGGUUGUGGUGCUGGAGAUUAAACUCAGAACCUCUCAACCCCUUCCUUUUUAGGUCAUUAGUAUCAGGAUGUGAUGUCUGGAACUGUAGCACUUUUUUUUUUUUUUAACUGAGCUAUAUACCCAGUUCUUUUCAUUUUAUUUUGAGACAGAUCUCACUAAGUUGCCCAUGUUGGGUUUGAAUUUGUGAUCUUCCUGUCUUAGCCUCCCAAGUAGCUAGGUAUGUGCUUCCAUGCCUGGCUAGCAACCUAUUUUAAGACCAAAAAGUGACCAACACACAAGGAAAGCUAACAUGAUUACAGGAAUACAAAUUUACAAAUUAGGAUCAUAGUGUAACCUACUUUAUUCACUUAGCACAGAAGCAUUUUUAUACUUCAUAAAGUAUUCUUUGAAAUCAUAAUGUAUACAGCUGAGGAUGUAUCUCAGUAGUACAGUAUUUGCCUAGCAUGCGUAAGGACCUGGGUUCAACUCAAUUCUUAGUAUCAUGAAAAAAAUAUAUAAUAGUUGUAUAUAAUGCCACAGAAUGAAUAGUUUCGCUGAUCUAUUGUGAGGCAUAAAGAUAGUUCCCAAUAUUUUGCUAAUCACUGGCAAUAGACACAAACAAUAUUUAUAUAUGUCUCAAAUGCUUUAAUUAGGAUAAGUGGGAUUACUGGGUCAACUUCUGUACUUUAAAAAAAAUUUUUUUUAGUUGUAGUUAGAUGCAAUACCUUUAUUUUAUUUAUUUAUUUUUAUGUGGUGUUGAGGAUUGAACUCAGUGCCUCACACGUGCUAGAGGAGUGCUCUACCACUGAGCCACAACCCCAGCUCUCAACCACUGUACUUUAAUGACAUUUACUGCAUUCUUCUAAACUGCAAUUUAAGAAGAUUAUAAUGCAUGUAUCUCAUAUGUGCCUUUGUCAUGUGAAAAUUGCUUUCCUAUAUUCUCUCCAAUCCUGAAUAUUAUGAAAAUCAUGCCAAUGGAUGUGUAAAUUUUUACUUUUAUAGAUUUUCCUAAAUCUUCCUUCACAGUGAGACUAACAACUGUCCUUUCUUGUUGAUGUCAGUCAAGCCCUUUCUCC